GAUGAACGCUGGCGGCGUGCCUAAUACAUGCAAGUCGAGCGAACAGACGAGGAGCUUGCUCCUCUGACGUUAGCGGCGGACGGGUGAGUAACACGUGGAUAACCUACCUAUAAGACUGGGAUAACUUCGGGAAACCGGAGCUAAUACCGGAUAAUAUAUUGAACCGCAUGGUUCAAUAGUGAAAGACGGUUUUGCUGUCACUUAUAGAUGGAUCCGCGCCGCAUUAGCUAGUUGGUAAGGUAACGGCUUACCAAGGCAACGAUGCGUAGCCGACCUGAGAGGGUGAUCGGCCACACUGGAACUGAGACACGGUCCAGACUCCUACGGGAGGCAGCAGUAGGGAAUAUUCCGCAAUGGGCGAAAGCUUGACGGAGCAACGCCGCGUGAGUGAUGAAGGUCUUCGGAUCGUAAAACACUGUUAUUAGGGAAGAACAAAUGUGUAAGUAACUAUGCACGUCUUGACGGUACCUAAUCAGAAAGCCACGGCUAACUACGUG
Molecule: ribosomal RNA, 497 nt
Filed under: uncultured bacterium
Lineage: Bacteria
Description: partial 16S ribosomal RNA
Rfam family: Bacterial small subunit ribosomal RNA
Source: RNAcentral